CUCGGAGUCAGGAGGACCUAUCUUCUCGAGUUCAAAUCUGACCUUAGACACUUACUAACUGUGUGACCCUGGGCAAGUCACUAAAGCCUGCUUGCCUCAGCUUCCUCAUCGGUAAAAUGGGCUGGAGAAGGACAUGACAAACCACUUCAGUAUCUCUGCCAAGAAAACCCCAAAUGGGGUCGUGAAGAAUCAGACAACACUGAAAAAUGACCAAAUAACAGCUUUAUUUUACAGAUGAGCAAACUGAGCCCCAGACAGAAGAAGUGAUUUGCCCACGACCACACUAUUAAGUCACUGAGGCUGAAUUUGAACUCAGAUCUCCUGAUUUCUGCUACACUUCUGGGGGAAUGGAGGGAAGGACAGUCAGAGAACCCUGUCAGAAGGACUGACUCUCAGAACAGGGAGGGGUCUCAAGGAACUAACAGCAGCUCUGGAGGCGACCCUGGGCAGCAAUGGUUCUAGAGAGCUCUGUGGGGAAGUCCUUCCUUGCGUCAAGCUGAAGCCUACAUCUCUGCCAUUUCAGCUCGCUGUUUCUAGGCCUGUCCUCUAGCCAAGGCCCCACGGGAGAGAUGGGGCAGGCUCAGACCAAAGCUCCGGGGAGACAGAGGCUGAGAGCAGGAUGGAUUUGACCUUGUCUGCCCGGGGAUCUGUUCCAUGACUAAAAAGACGAGGAAACUGAGGCACAGAGAUAAUGUCAAACCAGUGACUCUAAAUCCAAGGCUCUUUCCCACUCUCCCAGGGACUGAAGCUCACAACCUUGGCCUGAGGAAAGAAAAAAAAAAAGGACAAGCCAAAUCCUUGAAAAAUGCCCUCAGUACCCGGUUCUAGAGUAGGCUCUCUAUUUGAGGAGCUUACCACGACUGCCCUACUCUUGGGAAGACAGACUGAAACCCAAGCCAUAGCAAGGACCCUGGAAGAGGGAGGGGUCGAGGCGCUGAUCAGAGCAGGAAACCACACCUCCAUCUAAUGACAAUCAGGUUAGUAGGGUGACAGCUUCAGAGAUCUACCUCCCCCACCCUUAGCUAGAACACACACACACACACAUAACACGGCAGGGGUGGUCUGGCUCCUGGAGCUGCUAAC
This 1083-nucleotide long non-coding RNA is filed under the name Phascolarctos cinereus (koala). Its description in RNAcentral is "lncRNA (ENSPCIG00000015793.2)". Lineage: Eukaryota; Metazoa; Chordata; Mammalia; Diprotodontia; Phascolarctidae. The record is from RNAcentral.